CGCCUCUUGCUACACCCAGUAUAAGAGGUCUCGCCUGCCCAGUGAUAAUUUUAACGGCCGCGGUAUCAUGACCGUGCAAAGGUAGCGUAAUCACUUGUCUUUUAAAUAAAGACCCGUAUGAAAGGCAAAACGAAAAUUCAACUGUCUCUUUAAUCUAAUCAGUGAAAUUAAUCUCUCCGUGCAGAAGCGGAGAUAACCAUAUAAGACGAGAAGACCCUAUGGAGCUUUAAACAUGAAAUUAACCACACAAACCAACAACCAACAGGUAAAAAAUAAAAAUGUGUGGCCAUACCCUGAGUUUUCGGUUGGGGCGACCACGGAAGAAGAAAAUCCUCCGAGAUAAAUAACUUAGAACAACACUUCAAAGACUAAAACACUUGCUAUAAAAUGAUCCACUAAGUGACCAACGAACCAAGUUACCCUAGGGAUAACAGCGCAAUCCUUUCUAAGAGUCCAUAUCGACGAAUGGGUUUACGACCUCGAUGUUGGAUCAGGACACCCAAAUGGUGCAGCCGCUAUUAAAGGUUCGUUUGUUCAACGAUUAAAGUCCUACG
This 554-nucleotide ribosomal RNA is filed under the name Calotriton asper (Pyrenean brook newt). RNAcentral describes it as "partial 16S ribosomal RNA". It matches the Rfam family "Bacterial large subunit ribosomal RNA", at positions 1816 to 2600 of the family's 2925-position model. Lineage: Eukaryota; Metazoa; Chordata; Amphibia; Caudata; Salamandridae. The record is from RNAcentral.